This 240-nucleotide unclassified non-coding RNA is filed under the name soil metagenome. RNAcentral describes it as "partial contains 5.8S ribosomal RNA, internal transcribed spacer 2, and large subunit ribosomal RNA". The record is from RNAcentral.
AACCAUAGAAACCUGCGGAGUACCUGCGGAAGGAUCAUUAUUGAAUAAAUCUGACAUGGUUGUAGCUGGCUCUUAGGAGCAUGUGCACACCUGUCACCUUUAUCUUUCCACCUGUGAACCCUUUGUAGUCCCAGGAUAACCUCUCGCGCACUCUAGUGUUGCGGAUGCGAAGGUUGUUGUGCCUCUGGCCAGCUCCCAUCGAAUUUCCUGGGUCUAUGUUUCUUAUACACCCCUGUAUGU